AUGGAGGCCCCGCCCGUCGCUGCGCCGGUGGCCCCACCCAUCCCUAUCCUGAGCAGGCUGACGAGGCGUGUGUCUGCUUUUCAGCGUUUGACUGGUCAGCCCAGGCGAGAGGUUUCGAACCGCGCGGCGAUUGAGAAUUCUGACAGGAGUGGUGGAGCGGUUGAGAAUUCAAACAUGAGUGGUGGAGCUGCGGGCGGAUUGGUGGUUCCGGAAGCGGCGGUUAUUCCCCCGCCUCGGAUGCUGGGGCGAGUGGAGUCUGAGCAGAGAAAAGAAGGGGAGACCACAUGCAACGCGGUCGUCCAGUCUAGAGCGUCGCCAGUGGGACCACUGGUGACAGCCCCGGUGCUUCCUGUCGCUUUGGAGCAGGUGGGGCCAGUCUUCGAGCUGGCGACCACUAAGGAAGGAGAGCAAGGAUCCCAAGACGGUGUGGCGAUUGGGCACCCGGAUGCGGCCAAAAUGCCUGUCGUGCCGCGGGAAGAGCCGACACACUCGGUGGAGGGCGCGCCCCUCGUGACCAUGCAGGGUGCAGCGAUACACGAUUCUGUGGUGGAGACGCAGCUAGAGGCGACACCUGGCCAACUGUCGCUGGUGGAGUGCAUGCAGCCGGUGGAUGGCCACACGCUGGCUGGGCCCCGCCCUGAUGGGAAUCAUGCAGUUUCUGCAUGCGACUCGAUUCACGUACCCGGGCCAACGGAGGUGCAUGUGGGCAAUGUGCUGCCUGUUGAGAGGCCAACGGAAGACCGUGCCAAUGGGACAUGCAUGGAGAUCGUUGUGGCUAACGUUCCAGCGAGUGGAUUGACAACCAAGGAGGCGGAGAUGUACGUAAAGCUCAAGGCGUUCUGUUCAAGCAUUGUGAAGAAACUUGCCCCACCAAUCCUCAGGGAGGUUCAGGCCUCCACCUUGUUUGAGGCAGAGCCAUUCACACCCAGGAGAACUACUCGGGCAGCCAAGAAAUCAGCGGUACAGGCAGCGCCAAGGGCCACACCAGCGGAGAAUGUACUCCUGCGUACGCUGGGACUCAUUCCGGAAGACUUGGAGGUGGAGGACACGGCCGUGCAAGAGCUCAAGUCGCUUUUUGACUCACCUCUUCGCGAGCAGCACGGGCGCGUGAUCGCAGCUCUGUUUGGCAAGGAGUUGCCAGGGCAGCUUAGCGGUGCUUGCUCAGGGGCUGCAGCUGGGAUCGGUGCGCAUUGA
This 1194-nucleotide ribosomal RNA is filed under the name Triticum aestivum (bread wheat). RNAcentral's name for it is "partial small subunit ribosomal RNA". Lineage: Eukaryota; Viridiplantae; Streptophyta; Magnoliopsida; Poales; Poaceae. The record is from RNAcentral.